CUGAAUAACUCAGCUGAUCGCACAGUCCUAGCACUGGUGACAUAUCUUUCAAGUGUCUGCCUUAUCAACUGUCGAUGGUAGUUUACAUGACUACCAUGGUUGUAACGGGUAACGGAGAAUAAGGGUUCGACUCCGGAGAGGGAGCCUGAGAAACGGCUACCACAUCCAAGGAAGGCAGCAGGCGCGCAAAUUACCCAAUCUCAGCUCGAGGAGGUAGUGACGAAAAAUAACGAGACGGUUCUCUAUGAGCACGAUCAUCAACUGCGAAACCAUUUGACACGUUUGACGAAGAUCUAUUGGAGGGCAAGUCUGGUGCCAGCAGCCGCGGUAAUUCCAGCUCCAAUAGCGUAUAUUAAAGUUGUUGCGGUUAAAAAG
This 375-nucleotide ribosomal RNA is filed under the name Nematoda sp. RNAcentral describes it as "bacterial SSU rRNA". It matches the Rfam family "Eukaryotic small subunit ribosomal RNA", at positions 252 to 626 of the family's 1831-position model. Lineage: Eukaryota; Metazoa; Nematoda. The record is from RNAcentral.